Molecule: ribosomal RNA, 433 nt
Filed under: uncultured bacterium
Lineage: Bacteria
Description: partial 16S ribosomal RNA
Rfam family: Bacterial small subunit ribosomal RNA
Source: RNAcentral
AACGAACGCUGGCGGCAUGCCUAACACAUGCAAGUCGAACGAGACCUUCGGGUCUAGUGGCGCACGGGUGCGUAACGCGUGGGAACCUGCCCUUAGGUUCGGAAUAACUCCCCGAAAGGGGUGCUAAUACCGGAUAAUGUCUUCGGACCAAAGAUUUAUCGCCUUUGGAUGGGCCCGCGUUGGAUUAGCUAGUUGGUAGGGUAAAAGCCUACCAAGGCGACGAUCCAUAGCUGGUCUGAGAGGAUGAUCAGCCACACUGGGACUGAGACACGGCCCAGACUCCUACGGGAGGCAGCAGUGGGGAAUAUUGGGCAAUGGGCGAAAGCCUGAUCCAGCAAUGCCGCGUGAGUGAUGAAGGCCUUAGGGUUGUAAAGCUCUUUUACCCGGGAUGAUAAUGACAGUACCGGGAGAAUAAGCGCCGGCUAACUCCGUG